GGCUGGUCUGAUGGUAGUGGGUUAUCAGAACUUAUUAACAUUAGUGUCACUAAAGUUGGUAUUCAACCCCCCACUGCUAAAUUUGACUGGUUUAAA
Molecule: Y RNA, 96 nt
Filed under: Microcebus murinus (gray mouse lemur)
Lineage: Eukaryota; Metazoa; Chordata; Mammalia; Primates; Cheirogaleidae
Description: Y RNA (ENSMICG00000041883.1)
Rfam family: Y RNA
About the family: Y RNAs are components of the Ro ribonucleoprotein particle (Ro RNP), in association with Ro60 and La proteins. The Y RNAs and Ro60 and La proteins are well conserved, but the function of the Ro RNP is not known. In humans the RNA component can be one of four small RNAs -- hY1, hY3, hY4 and hY5.
Source: Rfam by way of RNAcentral